CGCAAGUGAAAUCCAAGAUUCUUUAAUUACAAGAUCAAGAUUUCUUGAGCCCUAAAACUUUCUUACAAGCAAAUUCCUAUAACGAACUACAGCGGAUGAAAACGGAAGCAAGCCCCAAGCAUCUCGAGUUGCAAGAAGGUCAUCAUUGAUCAGUUCGAAGGAAACAGCACAUAGCGAUCAAGAAUUCCUAUAACGAACUACGAUCAAUUAUUGAUCCCAAAAAAGUUUCUUACAAGCAAUUUCCUACGGUGAACCUCCAGGGGACGAACCGAAGCAGGCCCCAAGAAUCUUGAGUUGCAAGAAGAACAUCGCCGAUCAAGAAUUCCUAUAACUAACCACAACAAAGAUGACCAGCAAAUUUACAACAAUCUUGAGUUGCAAGAAGAUCAACGUGGAACGCAAAUGAUUCGUAUAAUCAUAACCCGCGAGCUACUUACCAUCAACAAUUCACGAGCGAUGGAAGAAACAUCUGAAGGAGGCGGAUCGAACCUUGAGGAUGGUUUGGAUCCACGUCCUAGUGAGAUCCCGCAACGGAAAAUGGGAAGGGGGCGGAGAAAAGUGGGGAGGAGAAGCAUUGUAAAACCCUAGGAGGAGAGUUCUUGAGAAUGGAGAUUAAGAUUUUGGUUUCUGCUCCGACGAAUCAGAUCACUCCCAUUUGGUUUCUGCUCCGCCGAAUCAGAUCACUCCCGCCGGUCCUCCCUCUUCGAGUCCUCNNNN
This 717-nucleotide long non-coding RNA is filed under the name Musa acuminata (dwarf banana). RNAcentral's name for it is "long non-coding RNA (MACU_LNC006646)". The record is from RNAcentral. Lineage: Eukaryota; Viridiplantae; Streptophyta; Magnoliopsida; Zingiberales; Musaceae.